UUUUUAGUAUAAGUAUGUCCCCAGUAGUGUAUGGGACAUACUUAUACUAAAA
This is a non-coding RNA of Callithrix jacchus (white-tufted-ear marmoset), 52 nucleotides long. Lineage: Eukaryota; Metazoa; Chordata; Mammalia; Primates; Cebidae. The record is from Rfam.